UGCCUAACACAUGCAAGUCGAGCGAGAAAGCCCUUCGGGGUAAGUACAGCGGCAGACGGGUGAGCAACGCGUGAGAAUCUGCCCUUCAGUGAAGAAUACCUCCGAGAAAUCGGGGCUAAUACUGCAUACGUCCCUUCGGGGAGAAAGAUGGCCUCUUUGCUGUUGCUGAAGGAUGAGCUUGCGUGCUAUCAGCUAGUUGGUGAGGUAAUGGCUCACCAAGGCUAUGACGGCUAACCGGCCUGAGAGGGUGUUCGGUCACAUUGGAAGUGAGACACGGUCCAGACUCCUACGGGAGGCAGCAGUGGGGAAUAUUGCGCAAUGGGCGAAAGCCUGACGCAGCCACGCCGCGUGGAGGAUGAAGGUCUUCGGAUUGUAAACUGC
RNAcentral lists this ribosomal RNA (381 nucleotides) under uncultured organism. RNAcentral describes it as "bacterial SSU rRNA". It matches the Rfam family "Bacterial small subunit ribosomal RNA", at positions 45 to 433 of the family's 1533-position model. The record is from RNAcentral.